RNAcentral lists this small RNA (311 nucleotides) under Pan troglodytes (chimpanzee). Its description in RNAcentral is "retained intron". The record is from RNAcentral. Lineage: Eukaryota; Metazoa; Chordata; Mammalia; Primates; Hominidae.
GUGCUGGUGAUGGAGCACGUGGACAUGAGGCAUCUGAGCAGUCAUGCUGCAAAGCUUGGAGCCCAGCUGGCCGAUUUACACCUUGAUAACAAGAAGCUUGGAGAGAUGCGCCUGAAGGAGGCGGGCACAGUGGAGCGUAACGCGCUGUCAGGAUCGAGGGAAUUUUCCGGUAUUUUAAUCUGCUGACAUUUGGAAUCCGUGUGCAGCCCACGUGGGAGAGGAGGUGGGCAGGAGGAACGGCCCUUUGUGGACCAGUUUGGAUUUGACGUGGUGACGUGCUGUGGAUACCUCCCCCAGGUGAAUGACUGGCA